This 200-nucleotide ribosomal RNA is filed under the name uncultured bacterium. Its description in RNAcentral is "partial 16S ribosomal RNA". It matches the Rfam family "Bacterial small subunit ribosomal RNA", at positions 32 to 215 of the family's 1533-position model. The record is from RNAcentral.
AAUCAACGCUGGCGGCGUGCCUAACACAUGCAAGUCGAGCGGGAAAGGGGGCUUCGGCCCUGAGUAUAGCGGCGGACGGGUGAGUAACACGUGGGUAAUUUGCCCUUGGGUGUGGAAUAACUCAGGGAAACUUGAGCUAAUACCGCAUGACAUCCCCUUCACACACGAGUCGGGGAUCAAAGCCGGGGGACCCUUCGGGG